AUUGAACGCUGGCGGCAUGCCUUACACAUGCAAGUCGAACGGUAACGCGGGGCAACCUGGCGACGAGUGGCGAACGGGUGAGUAAUGCAUCGGAACGUGCCCGGUAGUGGGGGAUAACUGCUCGAAAGAGCAGCUAAUACCGCAUACGACCUGAGGGUGAAAGGGGGGGAUCGCAAGACCUCUCGCUAUCGGAGCGGCCGAUGUCGGAUUAGCUAGUUGGUGGGGUAAAGGCCCACCAAGGCAACGAUCCGUAGCUGGUCUGAGAGGACGACCAGCCACACUGGGACUGAGACACGGCCCAGACUCCUACGGGAGGCAGCAGUGGGGAAUUUUGGACAAUGGACGCAAGUCUGAUCCAGCCAUGCCGCGUGCGGGAAGAAGGCCUUCGGGUUGUAAACCGCUUUUGUCAGGGAAGAAAUCUUCUGGGUUAAUACCUCGGGAGGAUGACGGUACCUGAAGAAUAAGCACCGGCUAACUACGUGCCAGCCGCCGCGGUAA
This 498-nucleotide ribosomal RNA is filed under the name uncultured bacterium. RNAcentral describes it as "partial 16S ribosomal RNA". It matches the Rfam family "Bacterial small subunit ribosomal RNA", at positions 29 to 523 of the family's 1533-position model. The record is from RNAcentral.